Molecule: ribosomal RNA, 497 nt
Filed under: uncultured bacterium
Lineage: Bacteria
Description: partial 16S ribosomal RNA
Rfam family: Bacterial small subunit ribosomal RNA
Source: RNAcentral
GAUGAACGCUGGCGGCGUGCCUAAUACAUGCAAGUCGAGCGGACAGACGAGGAGCUUGCUCCUCUGACGUUAGCGGCGGGCGGGUGUGUAACGCGUGGAUAACCUACCUGUAAUUCUGGGAUAACUUCGGGACACCGGCGCUUAUACCAGAGAAUCUAUUGAACCGCGUGGGUCAAUGGAAAGAGACGGUUUUUCUGGCUCUUCUCGCUGGUUCCGCGCUGCAUUAGCUAGUUGGUAAGGUAACGGCUUACCAAGGCUACGAUGCGUAAACGACGUGAGAGGGUGAUCGGCCACACUGGAACUGAGACACGGUCCAGACGCCUAAGGGACGCAGCAGUAGGCAACCUUACGCAAUGGGCGAAAGUAUGACGGAGCAACGCGGCGUGAGUGACGAAGGCGUCCGGAGCGUAAAGCCCUGUUACUGGGGAAGAACAACUGUGGCAGUAAAUAUGCACGUAGUGACGGUACCUAAUCAAAAAGCAACGGCUAACUACGUG